Molecule: ribosomal RNA, 253 nt
Filed under: uncultured bacterium
Lineage: Bacteria
Description: partial 16S ribosomal RNA
Rfam family: Bacterial small subunit ribosomal RNA
Source: RNAcentral
GACGAAGGGGGCAAGCGUUGUCCGGAAUCACUGGGCGUAAAGCGCACGUAGGCGGCUUGGCAAGUCAGGGGUGCAAGCUCCAGGCCUAACCUGGAAAUUGCCUCUGAAACUACCUCGCUUGAGUAUCAGAGGGGAAGCUGGAAUUCACGGUGUAGCGGUGAAAUGCGUAGAUAUCGUGGAGAACACCCGUGGCGAAGGCGGGCUUCUGGCUGAUUACUGACGCUGAGGUGCGAAAGCUAGGGGAGCGAACGGG